This 1372-nucleotide ribosomal RNA is filed under the name uncultured bacterium. RNAcentral's name for it is "bacterial SSU rRNA". It matches the Rfam family "Bacterial small subunit ribosomal RNA", at positions 28 to 1381 of the family's 1533-position model. The record is from RNAcentral.
GAUGAACGCUGGCGGCGUGCCUAAUACAUGCAAGUCGAGCGAACGGACGAGAAGCUUGCUUCUCUGAUGUUAGCGGCGGACGGGUGAGUAACACGUGGAUAACCUACCUAUAAGACUGGGAUAACUUCGGGAAACCGGAGCUAAUACCGGAUAAUAUUUUGAACCGCAUGGUUCAAAAGUGAAAGACGGUCUUGCUGUCACUUAUAGAUGGAUCCGCGCUGCAUUAGCUAGUUGGUAAGGUAACGGCUUACCAAGGCAACGAUGCAUAGCCGACCUGAGAGGGUGAUCGGCCACACUGGAACUGAGACACGGUCCAGACUCCUACGGGAGGCAGCAGUAGGGAAUCUUCCGCAAUGGGCGAAAGCCUGACGGAGCAACGCCGCGUGAGUGAUGAAGGUCUUCGGAUCGUAAAACUCUGUUAUUAGGGAAGAACAUAUGUGUAAGUAACUGUGCACAUCUUGACGGUACCUAAUCAGAAAGCCACGGCUAACUACGUGCCAGCAGCCGCGGUAAUACGUAGGUGGCAAGCGUUAUCCGGAAUUAUUGGGCGUAAAGCGCGCGUAGGCGGUUUUUUAAGUCUGAUGUGAAAGCCCACGGCUCAACCGUGGAGGGUCAUUGGAAACUGGAAAACUUGAGUGCAGAAGAGGAAAGUGGAAUUCCAUGUGUAGCGGUGAAAUGCGCAGAGAUAUGGAGGAACACCAGUGGCGAAGGCGACUUUCUGGUCUGUAACUGACGCUGAUGUGCGAAAGCGUGGGGAUCAAACAGGAUUAGAUACCCUGGUAGUCCACGCCGUAAACGAUGAGUGCUAAGUGUUAGGGGGUUUCCGCCCCUUAGUGCUGCAGCUAACGCAUUAAGCACUCCGCCUGGGGAGUACGACCGCAAGGUUGAAACUCAAAGGAAUUGACGGGGACCCGCACAAGCGGUGGAGCAUGUGGUUUAAUUCGAAACAACGCGAAGAACCUUACCAAAUCUUGACAUCCUUUGACAACUCUAGAGAUAGAGCCUUCCCCUUCGGGGGACAAAGUGACAGGUGGUGCAUGGUUGUCGUCAGCUCGUGUCGUGAGAUGUUGGGUUAAGUCCCGCAACGAGCGCAACCCUUAAGCUUAGUUGCCAUCAUUAAGUUGGGCACUCUAAGUUGACUGCCGGUGACAAACCGGAGGAAGGUGGGGAUGACGUCAAAUCAUCAUGCCCCUUAUGAUUUGGGCUACACACGUGCUACAAUGGACAAUACAAAGGGCAGCGAAACCGCGAGGUCAAGCAAAUCCCAUAAAGUUGUUCUCAGUUCGGAUUGUAGUCUGCAACUCGACUACAUGAAGCUGGAAUCGCUAGUAAUCGUAGAUCAGCAUGCUACGGUGAAUACGUUCCCGGGUCU